Molecule: ribosomal RNA, 994 nt
Filed under: Nocardiopsis sp.
Lineage: Bacteria; Bacillati; Actinomycetota; Actinomycetes; Streptosporangiales; Nocardiopsidaceae
Description: bacterial SSU rRNA
Rfam family: Bacterial small subunit ribosomal RNA
Source: RNAcentral
UGCAAGUCGAGCGGUAAGGCCCUUCGGGGUACACGAGCGGCGAACGGGUGAGUAACACGUGAGCAACCUGCCCCUGACUCUGGGAUAAGCGGUGGAAACGCCGUCUAAUACCGGAUACGACCUUCCGCCUCAUGGUGGAGGGUGGAAAGUUUUUUCGGUCAGGGAUGGGCUCGCGGCCUAUCAGCUUGUUGGUGGGGUAACGGCCUACCAAGGCGAUUACGGGUAGCCGGCCUGAGAGGGCGACCGGCCACACUGGGACUGAGACACGGCCCAGACUCCUGCGGGAGGCAGCAGUGGGGAAUAUUGCGCAAUGGGCGAAAGCCUGACGCAGCGACGCCGCGUGGGGGAUGACGGCCUUCGGGUUGUAAACCUCUUUUACCACCAACGCAGGCUCCGGGUUCUCUCGGGGUUGACGGUAGGUGGGGAAUAAGGACCGGCUAACUACGUGCCAGCAGCCGCGGUAAUACGUAGGGUCCGAGCGUUGUCCGGAAUUAUUGGGCGUAAAGAGCUCGUAGGCGGCGUGUCGCGUCUGCUGUGAAAGACCGGGGCUUAACUCCGGUUCUGCAGUGGAUACGGGCAUGCUAGAGGUAGGUAGGGGAGACUGGAAUUCCUGGUGUAGCGGUGAAAUGCGCAGAUAUCAGGAGGAACACCGGUGGCGAAGGCGGGUCUCUGGGCCUUACCUGACGCUGAGGAGCGAAAGCAUGGGGAGCGAACAGGAUUAGAUACCCUGGUAGUCCAUGCCGUAAACGUUGGGCGCUAGGUGUGGGGACUUUCCACGGUUUCCGCGCCGUAGCUAACGCAUUAAGCGCCCCGCCUGGGGAGUACGGCCGCAAGGCUAAAACUCAAAGGAAUUGACGGGGGCCCGCACAAGCGGCGGAGCAUGUUGCUUAAUUCGACGCAACGCGAAGAACCUUACCAAGGUUUGACAUCACCCGUGNACCUGUAGAGAUACAGGGUCAUUUAGUUGGUGGGUGACAGGUGGUGCAUGGCUGUC